GAUGAACGCUGGCGGCGUGCCUAAUACAUGCAAGUCGAGCGAACAGACGAGGAGCUUGCUCCUCUGACGUUAGCGGCGGACGGGUGAGUAACACGUGGAUAACCUACCUAUAAGACUGGGAUAACUUCGGGAAACCGGAGCUAAUACCGGAUAAUAUAUUGAACCGCAUGGUUCAAUAGUGAAAGACGGUUUUGCUGUCACUUAUAGAUGGAUCCGCGCCGCAUUAGCUAGUUGGUAAGGUAACGGCUUACCAAGGCAACGAUGCGUAGCCGACCUGAGAGGGUGAUCGGCCGCACUGGAACGGAGACACGGUCCAGACUCCUACGGGAGGCAGCAGUAGGGAAUCUUCCGCAAUGGGCGAAAGCCUGACGGAGCAACGCCGCGUGAGUGAUGAAGGUCGUCGGAUCGUAAAACUCUGUUAUUAGGGAAGAACAAAUGUGUAAGUAACUAUGCACGUCUUGACGGUACCUAAUCAGAAAGCCACGGCUAACUACGUGC
Molecule: ribosomal RNA, 498 nt
Filed under: uncultured bacterium
Lineage: Bacteria
Description: partial 16S ribosomal RNA
Rfam family: Bacterial small subunit ribosomal RNA
Source: RNAcentral